UUUAACAAACUAAAGUUUAUUAGGUCUAUAUUUCGGCUGUAGGUUUUGGAUUUUAUAAUAUUGUCCUGUUAAAA
This 74-nucleotide transfer RNA is filed under the name Diplorchis hangzhouensis. RNAcentral describes it as "tRNA-Arg". Lineage: Eukaryota; Metazoa; Platyhelminthes; Monogenea; Polystomatidea; Polystomatidae. The record is from RNAcentral.